Long non-coding RNA from Acanthopagrus latus (yellowfin seabream), 1778 nucleotides. RefSeq lists it as uncharacterized. The transcript is spliced from 2 exons. The record is from RefSeq and is a predicted model, not a curated record. NCBI's taxonomy places the organism in Eukaryota, Metazoa, Chordata, Actinopteri, Spariformes, Sparidae.
GUGUAUAUAUAGGAUGGCCAAGUUCUUUUGGCUUAUCCGCCACAGCCGUGAGGAUUUAUUCAUCUCAUAUCUGACAAAGACUGAUUGCCUUUUUCACUCACUGACCUCCAAAAUACUCAGCUCAAAGUCAGAAAGUGCUCAAUCACACCAGAAGCCUUUCAACAGGCUGCAGUAAACAAAUGGCAAUGCUGGUGUGAAUGCUCGACUGUGGACUGACAUCCUUCGUGUAUUACUCUCCCUCGCACAGGUGCAUAAUAAAGUGUAUUGUAUUCCGUAUGGAUAUACUUAGCAGUCAUUAUAUUUUCAUCACAGAGCUUAAUGAGAUAAUGGCGACACAGAGUCCGAUAUUAAUAUCUAAACUUGUUCUCCGCUCAGGAGGCGUGCAAAGUUUGGGUGUGGUGUUGUCAGCCGCCUGAGGGUUUGUCAGUGAGAGCUCCUAAAAAAACUAAAAACAAAUAAUGCUGCGCUUCAUGGCAUUCACAUAUUAAGUUUGCAGCCUCGAGACUCAAGAGAACAGAUCAUGUAGACACAACAAUUUAAUCACCAGAGAAAGUUGAUACACCAAAUGAGUUACGAAAGAGUUGCUCGUUACGCAGCCGGCAGAAUGAAGCAACAUAAGCAAUCAUCUGGACUCGUGUUUCAGUUGCCGUGUUGGCCUGCUAGUGGCCAACUUUGCCAUUUGGUGCUGGGCAUUAGAGCUUAAUAACUAAAAAAAAAAAAAAAGGAGGGUACUCAAAGGCUCUGUAAAGCUGAGAUGAACUGUAUGGUAACAAUUCUCAGGGUUUGUCAGUAUGUAUUACACAAAGUGAGAGAACUGAUCCGUUAUGAAAUCUCUCUCUUCCGGGAAUGACAUUUCAAAUUAAGCAAUCUUUGAUGUGAUAUAACCUGAUGGCUCAUUCCCUGAGGAGCAGCAUAAUAAGACAGGUUUGUGAGCAGUCAAGCAGUCUGUACACACCCACACAGCCUUGAGAAGAGGCCUCGAGCCAAAACUACUAUGUGGGUUAUUUCUGUCUGUUCUUGCCAAUUUAGAUUUUUUACUGUGAAUUCGAUGUGCUUUUUGUUACGACCCCAGAGGUCAUAUCAACAUUUAUGUUGCCAACCCUGUUGCUUCUGCUUAAAUCCCCCUCUUCUACCUGAGUGAGUGUGUGACUGGUUGCAGGUGUGUUUGAUUGCAGGUUGUCCAGGGAGCUGAUUGGUUCCAGCCUUGAAGGCAGGAGUUUAAAGGCCGGCUCUUCCCAGCUCCUGUGGGAUCUCCUCUGUCAGCAUAUCGGUUUGUGUGCAAGAUAUGUUUUUAAAUGAAACCUUUCAAGAACGCUUCGCUGCUGGUGGUGCUUGGGGGACAGGAAGAGAUUGGUGCCGACUCUUUUACCUCCCCCUGUAACGCCAGGCAGGGGAAAAUCUGUCAACUACCUGCCAGGUCAUGUUUGAGAACAAUGACUAGCCUGUGAGAGGACAUAUUAAAAACCUGAGGUGAUGAAGUCAUCGGCGCUGGCGAGGGCUUGUACGACUGUCGCAUGUGGGCCAACACGGAUCCCGCGUGGACUGUACAUCAGCCCCACCAAUAAUGAGCGAGAAGUGAGAAGGAGGACAGUGGGAACAGUGUGCGUGGAGGGUUUCUAUAAUGCCGUGCCAGUCGUGGCUGCAGAGUUGCCAGGAGGAGUUGUUCCCUCACCGCACCACACCUCCUCUCUCUCACGAACCCUUUUUCAGUUGGUACAACAAGUACUGAAUGAAGUUGGAGGAGCAAUAUGUAGUUUUGGGGAAGAAGAGACAAGAUU